RNAcentral lists this ribosomal RNA (318 nucleotides) under Triticum aestivum (bread wheat). Its description in RNAcentral is "partial small subunit ribosomal RNA". Lineage: Eukaryota; Viridiplantae; Streptophyta; Magnoliopsida; Poales; Poaceae. The record is from RNAcentral.
AUGAGGUUUGUUUUCCUUAAGGUCAAGGUGCAAGAGCUCGAUUUGAUUUCAUGUGAUUGGAUUCAGUUUCCUCAUGCCUCUCUGUUUGCAUUGCAGGCUCUGUUGGUCAGUCUUCAAUUCUUCAUGCUGCUGCUGCUACUACUACAUGAGGACCCUCUUCAAUUCUGCAUCCGUUGCGGCCGCCGCAGCUUCCACCUCCAGAAGAGCACCUGCUCCUCGUGCGGUUACCCGGCCGCCCGCAUCCGCAAGUGUGAAGCGCGAAUCCAUGUCCGAAGCUGUGAAGAAUAUCAGCAGAGAGUAGCAUAUUAUGUGUUGUAG